UACGUAGGGGGCAAGCGUUGUCCGGAAUUAUUGGGCGUAAAGCGCGCGCAGGCGGUUGCUUAAGUCUGGUGUAUAAGUGCGGGGCUCAACCCCGUGAGGCACUGGAAACUGGGCAGCUUGAGUGCAGAAGAGGAGAGCGGAAUUCCACGUGUAGCGGUGAAAUGCGUAGAGAUGUGGAGGAACACCAGUGGCGAAGGCGGCUCUCUGGUCUGUAACUGACGCUGAGGCGCGAAAGCGUGGGGAGCGAACAGG
This 252-nucleotide ribosomal RNA is filed under the name uncultured bacterium. Its description in RNAcentral is "partial 16S ribosomal RNA". It matches the Rfam family "Bacterial small subunit ribosomal RNA", at positions 524 to 776 of the family's 1533-position model. The record is from RNAcentral.